UAAAGGCAAGCAAGGUGGCUAGUAGAGUCUGGUUGACAGUUUUUGUUUAUUAUUAUUAAUUUUUUGGACAGAUUCCUCCAAUAAUAGCAAAAGAAGCCGGGCAGGCAAACAGAAACAAACGAAAUAAAAUAAAAUUAGAACACGGAGUUGACUGGUCGCCCUUUUCCCCAAAUGGAAAACAUGAAAUAUAUAUUAUUGUAUUUCCAGUAAUACAUUUUCUGCUUGUUCUUUCAUGGCAGGUUCUCAGAUUUAACUUUCAGCGAAAAAGUUUCAUUUUAUAGUUGCCAUUGGAUUAACCAGCACCUCCUGCAUACCACUGGCAACUUUCUAAGAGGCGAGGAUUCUCCCUUACUUUCUUCUCAACAAUCAUCUUUCUAUCAAAUGCUAUUGAAGAUGAAUCUGAGAUCAAGAAUAAAAGUAUGCGGUUAGUCUUCUCUUCAUAUUUGACAUUUAAAAUGUUCCAUUUCUAUGCAAAUAAUACAACAGUAAUACUCAGUUUUAUUAUAAUGACAUUAUUUUACUUUCAAACGUUUCGUAUACAGUUGUUGGUUUUUAGGAAGUAGGCCAACUUUUUUAAGACUAAGAACUCGUUGAAAUACCUGCAGUACAGAAGUAACCAGGUGAAGUAGUGACCUACACUGACAUGGUCUAUUUUCCAAUUUUUUUCCACUUGAUUUUCAAUCUCUGCCCAUUUCCUAUUCGACCGUAGAGAAUUUUCAGGGCAUCCGAAACUUUGGAGUAAACCUUUCCUUUAAAAACAAUUUGUUGGCUCCUUUGGCCCAACUUGCCCUCUUUUCCCAUAAGUGUGAGAAUUUCUACUAGGCGUCGGUGCUCUAAACUCCUCCAAGAGAUCUUUCAAUUGUCAGUUGUUUUUCCUUAUACUUUAAAUAGACAGCAAAAUGCGUUACCAUCAGCCGUUUCUAUGUAUAUACCUGUGUUUGUUGCAAAAGUAACACCCACAGUGAUCCAGCAAAGUGAAAAAAAACAUUUAGUUUUGGUGCCGCAGAUCUUCUUGCCCUUUCAUUAAGAAUUCUGGUACAAAUUGAUUUGGACCAAUUCUCAGAAGAUAUAUAUCAUUUCAAAUUAAAAAUGCUAAGCAUGUCUGUACAAGACACUAGGAGAAGGUUACAAUAUUUGUUAGAGUCAAAACCAGCAGUAUGUUUUUGGCCGUUAGGAAAACUACUAAGCCAUCUCUGCCAAAUUAUAUUAUCUUAUCUUUCUGAAGAACAAUUAAAUAAGAUGUAAUCCAAUAUGCCGGCUGCUAACAGUUUGUUUUUUAAUUAUCAUAGCAGGACUUUGUAACUUACCAUUGUUGAAAUUCCCACAGAAGAGUCUUAAAAUGGCAUGACUCUGUCAAACUACAGAGGAUGAAUAUGGCAAAACUAUUCUCAACUUAAUCUGUUAACCUUGACAAUUAUGUAUAUAUAUGUGGAAGCUAUUGUUGUUAAGAAAAGCAAGCUCCCUCAAUGGAUUGUGGAACACCUUUAUGUGUAGGAUUCACGGCCCUUCUUUUUUUUAUUGUAUUCCAUCAAACUAGCCAUGCAAAAGAUAUAGAUCACUAUUGUUCCUCUUCCUGUGGCAAUAUCCACAACAUAAGCUACCUUUUUCGACUUCAAAGUGAUGCAGACCACUGCGGUGAUCUAAAGUACAAUCUUUCUUGCGAAAACAACCUUACUGUGUUGUACUUAUACUCUGGAAGAUACUAUGUGCAAUCAAUAAAUUACAGUAACUACACUAUCAGACUUGUGGUUCCCAAUAUUCAGAAGGACAAUUGCUCCUCCAUUCCUUAUUA
This is a long non-coding RNA of Ziziphus jujuba (common jujube), 1792 nucleotides long. RefSeq lists it as uncharacterized. The record is from RefSeq and is a predicted model, not a curated record. The transcript is spliced from 2 exons. NCBI's taxonomy places the organism in Eukaryota, Viridiplantae, Streptophyta, Magnoliopsida, Rosales, Rhamnaceae.